RNAcentral lists this non-coding RNA (178 nucleotides) under Pseudomonadota bacterium. Its description in RNAcentral is "Proteobacteria bacterium (marine metagenome) 6S RNA". It matches the Rfam family "6S / SsrS RNA". Rfam says of the family: E. coli 6S RNA was the first non coding RNA to be sequenced, but its function was unknown until recently. It consists of 184 nucleotides that fold into an extended hairpin structure with a large single-stranded internal bulge. Lineage: Bacteria; Pseudomonadati; Pseudomonadota. The record is from RNAcentral.
CGGCCCCUGUACUAUGCGUGAUAGUCGAAUUUUUUUUGAGCCAACACCUUAUGCCGCAGGCGGAGACUUUAUUCUGGUGUGCAUGCCCUGCUUGCAGGGAAGCCUGAAGGGAUAAUUUCCUGCCUCAACUGCUACUUAAGGUUCAAGAGAAGCGGCUACACGGUAGCAUGGGGGCAUU